Molecule: ribosomal RNA, 270 nt
Filed under: uncultured bacterium
Lineage: Bacteria
Description: partial 16S ribosomal RNA
Rfam family: Bacterial small subunit ribosomal RNA
Source: RNAcentral
AUACGUAGGUGGCAAGCGUUGUCCGGAAUUAUUGGGCGUAAAGCGCGCGCAGGUGGUUCCUUAAGUCUGAUGUGAAAGCCCCCGGCUCAACCGGGGAGGGUCAUUGGAAACUGGGGAACUUGAGUGCAGAAGAGGAUAGUGGAAUUCCAAGUGUAGCGGUGAAAUGCGUAGAGAUUUGGAGGAACACCAGUGGCGAAGGCGACUGUCUGGUCUGUAACUGACACUGAGGCGCGAAAGCGUGGGGAGCAAACAGGAUUAGAUACUCUCGAG